CCCCGUUCCCAAACCCCACCCCAGUCAAGGACCCUCAUCCUCAUCCCCGUCACCCCCGGAGCAGCCGGGAGCGGGGUGGUGACACUGCCCGGGUGACACCGGAGCCAAGGAGAAGCCACCGAGCAUCCCUGUGACAUUCCUGCCGCUGCGGGUUGGGUGUUAACACGGGGAAGGAAAUCCUUCCUUCCUUCCUUCCCAACACCAACUUUUAUCUGGACAGCGUCUCCUCCCCAGCCCACAGCGGGUCCGUCCUGUCACCAAACCCAGCUCCCUCCCGGCACUGUCCACCCCAGACACCAUCCCUGGAUCCGCAGGGAUCUCAUCCCAUCUCAAAGCAGCAGCUCCAGCUCCCCCCCGGGCAGGGGGGGUCCCCUGCUGCCACAUCCAGAGGAAUUUGGGAAUGUGGCCCGAGAGCCUCGUUCCCUUUCCCGGCCUCUCCUGGGCCCACCGUGCAUCUCCGGCCGCGUGGUUCCACCCCUGCCUGUCCCUGGCGGAAUCCCUGGGCUGGAAUUGUUGGAUUGUCCCCCCCCCGAACAUCCCUGCGGGUGCCACCGGCUGAUGUCACCGCGCCGAGGUGACAGCGUGCACGCGCCACAAAGCCAGGAGGGCAGGACGCGGCGCCAUCCCUCAAUCCCGCUCCUGAAUGCCACCGGAGCACUCAGGAUGUGGCAUGCUGGGGACAGAGCCACAGGGCUGGGGGACACUCCCAGAGCCCCAGGGACACAUCCCAGCACAGCCAGGGCCGCUUUUGGGGACACAGCGGGUCCCUCCCCACGGCGCCCUGCUCUGCCCGUUCCCACAUCCCAGCUCCCCCUGUCCCUCAUUGUCCCCAACUGCCAGAGCCAGCAGGGAAAGCAGGGACAAGCUUGGGGACACACCAGAGCCAGCGGAACCACGGAGCCAGAGCCGCUCCAAGGAGGAGUUUUUAUCUUCCCUGAGGAAGCGGGACCACGGUGUCCUUCAUCCCCAGCCUCCUCCUCCUCUGCCCCGUCCUAAAAUCGGCGUUAUCAGCCGCGGGCCCUUGAAAAGUAACAGGAUUCCGUUUCCUGUUUUUCCCAUGGAAACCCUCAAAUAGAAGCUGGCCUCAUUACGGCCGCUUUUCGGGUCUCUGGGUGGGUUUUUUUUCAGCCGGGCUAACAACAAUGAGCCAUUUCCUCCGGCG
Molecule: long non-coding RNA, 1162 nt
Filed under: Cyanistes caeruleus (blue tit)
Lineage: Eukaryota; Metazoa; Chordata; Aves; Passeriformes; Paridae
Description: lncRNA (ENSCCEG00000019814.1)
Source: RNAcentral